AUUGAAAGAGGUUUAGCGUAAGAAACAGCAAUUUUUUUUUUCAUUUUGUUCUCUGCCCUUGUUGGAAAAAAAAAAGGUUACUGUUCGGGUUACUGUUCACGCUCAAUUUCGAUUUUUUUCCUUCAAUUUUCUAUCGUAGUUGCCACCAAAAAAAAAAAUUACUGUUCACAGGCGGAAAUUUCAGUUUAUGGUUUUUCUGCAAUUUCAGUUUCCCCCUCACCAAAAAAAAUAAAAAAAAAUCGUGUUACUGUUCACACCCAGGAUUCCAAAUUCUUUAUUUUCUUUCUAUAGUAAAAAAAAAAAAAAAAAGGUAUUUUCUAACAUUGUUUUGCAAAUACCUCUUCCUGUUCUGUUGAUCAAUCCAGUCGCUUCGAUGAACAAAAAGGGGAGUUAUCAUUCUAUUUAUCUUUGGUACAUUACUGUUUAUCUUAGAAAUUGCAUCAAUUAAAUUUUUCUGCUGCUGCUGCUGCUGCUGAUCUAGCUGUUUAUCUAAACUCACGAAUUGGACCCAUUCACUUCGAUAAGUUCCACUUUUACCUCACUUAUUUUACGUGAUUAGAGUUUGACUAGUAUUUGACCCUUACUUUGCUAUUUUACUUAUACCAACAGUAUUAGCU
This 617-nucleotide long non-coding RNA is filed under the name Olea europaea subsp. europaea. The record is from RNAcentral. Lineage: Eukaryota; Viridiplantae; Streptophyta; Magnoliopsida; Lamiales; Oleaceae.